RNAcentral lists this ribosomal RNA (496 nucleotides) under uncultured bacterium. Its description in RNAcentral is "partial 16S ribosomal RNA". It matches the Rfam family "Bacterial small subunit ribosomal RNA", at positions 28 to 506 of the family's 1533-position model. The record is from RNAcentral.
GAUGAACGCUGGCGGCGUGCCUAAUACAUGCAAGUCGAGCGAACAGACGAGGAGCUUGCUCCUCUGACGUUAGCGGCGGACGGGUGAGUAACACGUGGAUAACCUACCUAUAAGACUGGGAUAACUUCGGGAAACCGGAGCUAAUGCCGGAUAAUAUAUUGAACCGCAUGGUUCAAUAGUGAAAGACGGUUUUGCUGUCACUUAUAGAUGGAUCCGCGCCGCAUUAGCUAGUUGGUAAGGUAACGGCUUACCAAGGCAACGAUGCGUAGCCGACCUGAGAGGGUGAUCGGCCACACGGGAACUGAGACACGGUCCAGACUCCUACGGGAGGCAGCAGUAGGGAAUCUUCCGCAAUGGGCGAAAGCUUGACGGAGCAACGCCGCGUGAGUGAUGAAGGUCUUCGGAUCGUAAAACUCUGUUAUUAGGGAAGAACAAAUGUGUAAGUAACUAUGCACGUCUGGACGGUACCUAAUCAGAAAGCCACGGCUAACUACGU